UGUUAAUUGUUAAUAAUUUUUAAUAUUAACUAAGAUAUAGAUUUGAUCUCAUAUAUAUAUUAUUUUGACAUGAAAUCAUUAUCAAGUAAGAUGAAGUGUGUAGAAUUAAAAUCGAGUUUUUUAUGAAAUAGAUAGUUAAAUUGUAUACAAAAUUGAAUAUGUAAGAUAAAAAUUUGUUUUUUUCUUCUAAAUACUAAAUUAUAAUAAAGAAAAAGUGUGUAGGUUACUAUUUAGACUUCAAAUAUCAUCAAUAAGAUUGAAUGGGUAUAAUAAAAUAAAAUGCAUAAGACUACUAUUUUACUAUUCAAAAUUAUAUAUCAAGAACAAUGUAUAGAUUAUUAUUUUACUAUUCAAAAUUUAAAUAUUAUCGAUAAAAAAUUACAGUUACAUCUUACACCCGCCUAUUUAGACGGGCCUUAUCUAGUAUUAUAUAAGAGCUAGAUAUAUAGCAUAUAAUGAUA
This 461-nucleotide small RNA is filed under the name Arabidopsis thaliana (thale cress). RNAcentral describes it as "ATSL216400". Lineage: Eukaryota; Viridiplantae; Streptophyta; Magnoliopsida; Brassicales; Brassicaceae. The record is from RNAcentral.